This 1238-nucleotide ribosomal RNA is filed under the name Escherichia coli. RNAcentral's name for it is "partial 23S ribosomal RNA". It matches the Rfam family "Bacterial large subunit ribosomal RNA", at positions 396 to 1637 of the family's 2925-position model. The record is from RNAcentral. Lineage: Bacteria; Pseudomonadati; Pseudomonadota; Gammaproteobacteria; Enterobacterales; Enterobacteriaceae.
ACUGUGAGCUCGAUGAGUAGGGCGGGACACGUGGUAUCCUGUCUGAAUAUGGGGGGACCAUCCUCCAAGGCUAAAUACUCCUGACUGACCGAUAGUGAACCAGUACCGUGAGGGAAAGGCGAAAAGAACCCCGGCGAGGGGAGUGAAAAAGAACCUGAAACCGUGUACGUACAAGCAGUGGGAGCCUCUUAAUGGGGUGACUGCGUACCUUUUGUAUAAUGGGUCAGCGACUUAUAUUCUGUAGCAAGGUUAACCGAAUAGGGGAGCCGAAGGGAAACCGAGUCUUAACUGGGCGUUAAGUUGCAGGGUAUAGACCCGAAACCCGGUGAUCUAGCCAUGGGCAGGUUGAAGGUUGGGUAACACUAACUGGAGGACCGAACCGACUAAUGUUGAAAAAUUAGCGGAUGACUUGUGGCUGGGGGUGAAAGGCCAAUCAAACCGGGAGAUAGCUGGUUCUCCCCGAAAGCUAUUUAGGUAGCGCCUCGUGAAUUCAUCUCCGGGGGUAGAGCACUGUUUCGGCAAGGGGGUCAUCCCGACUUACCAACCCGAUGCAAACUGCGAAUACCGGAGAAUGUUAUCACGGGAGACACACGGCGGGUGCUAACGUCCGUCGUGAAGAGGGAAACAACCCAGACCGCCAGCUAAGGUCCCAAAGUCAUGGUUAAGUGGGAAACGAUGUGGGAAGGCCCAGACAGCCAGGAUGUUGGCUUAGAAGCAGCCAUCAUUUAAAGAAAGCGUAAUAGCUCACUGGUCGAGUCGGCCUGCGCGGAAGAUGUAACGGGGCUAAACCAUGCACCGAAGCUGCGGCAGCGACGCUUAUGCGUUGUUGGGUAGGGGAGCGUUCUGUAAGCCUGUGAAGGUGUGCUGUGAGGCAUGCUGGAGGUAUCAGAAGUGCGAAUGCUGACAUAAGUAACGAUAAAGCGGGUGAAAAGCCCGCUCGCCGGAAGACCAAGGGUUCCUGUCCAACGUUAAUCGGGGCAGGGUGAGUCGACCCCUAAGGCGAGGCCGAAAGGCGUAGUCGAUGGGAAACAGGUUAAUAUUCCUGUACUUGGUGUUACUGCGAAGGGGGGACGGAGAAGGCUAUGUUGGCCGGGCGACGGUUGUCCCGGUUUAAGCGUGUAGGCUGGUUUUCCAGGCAAAUCCGGAAAAUCAAGGCUGAGGCGUGAUGACGAGGCACUACGGUGCUGAAGCAACAAAUGCCCUGCUUCCAGGAAAAGCCUCUAAGCAUCAGGUAACAU